GAUGAAGAACGUAGCGAAAUGCGAUAAGUAAUGCGAAUUGCAGAAUUCCAGUGAGUCAUCGAAUCUUUGAACGCACAUUGCGCCCUUUGGUAUUCCGAAGGGCAUGCCUGUUCGAGCGUCAUUAUCACCCCUCAAGCCCUCGGCUUGGUGUUGGACGGUUUGGUGGAGGCCCCCUCGGGGGCUCCUGCCCCUCCCAAAGACAAUGACGGCGGCCUCGUUGGACCCCCGGUACACUGAGUUCUUCACGGGACACGUAUCGGACACAUGGGUUUACGGGACACGGUCUGCCUCCCCUCAGGGAGAAUCUUUCUAAGGUUGGCCUCGGAUCAGGUAGGGAUACCCGCUGAACUUAAGCAUAUCAAUAAGCGGAGGA
RNAcentral lists this unclassified non-coding RNA (373 nucleotides) under soil metagenome. RNAcentral's name for it is "partial contains 5.8S ribosomal RNA, internal transcribed spacer 2, and large subunit ribosomal RNA". The stretch from base 1 to 121 matches the Rfam family "5.8S ribosomal RNA", at positions 35 to 154 of the family's 154-position model. The record is from RNAcentral.